UACGUAGGGUCCGAGCGUUGUCCGGAAUUAUUGGGCGUAAAGGGCUCGUAGGCGGUUAGUCGCGUCGGGAGUGAAAACUCAGGGCUCAACCCUGAGCGUGCUUCCGAUACGGGCUGACUAGAGGUAUGCAGGGGAGAACGGAAUUCCUGGUGUAGCGGUGGAAUGCGCAGAUAUCAGGAGGAACACCGGUGGCGAAGGCGGGUCUCUGGGCCGUAACUGACGCUGAGGAGCGAAAGCGUGGGGAGCGAACAGG
RNAcentral lists this ribosomal RNA (253 nucleotides) under uncultured bacterium. Its description in RNAcentral is "partial 16S ribosomal RNA". It matches the Rfam family "Bacterial small subunit ribosomal RNA", at positions 524 to 776 of the family's 1533-position model. The record is from RNAcentral.